GACGAACGCGGCGGCGUGCCUAAUACAUGCAAGUAGAACGCUGAAGGAGGAGCUUGCUCUUCUAGAUGAGUUGCGAACGGGUGAGUAACGCGUAGGUAACCUGCCUGGUAGCGGGGGAUAACUAUUGGAAACGAUAGCUAAUACCGCAUAACAGUAGAUGUUGCAUGACAUUUGCUUAAAAGGUGCAAUUGCAUCACUACCAGAUGGACCUGCGUUGUAUUAGCUAGUUGGUGGGGUAACGGCUCACCAAGGCAACGAUACAUAGCCGACCUGAGAGGGUGAUCGGCCACACUGGGACUGAGACACGGCCCAGACUCCUACGGGAGGCAGCAGUAGGGAAUCUUCGGCAAUGGACGGAAGUCUGACCGAGCAACGCCGCGUGAGUGAAGAAGGUUUUCGGAUCGUAAAGCUCUGUUGUAAGAGAAGAACGAGUGUGAGAGUGGAAAGUUCACACUGUGACGGUAUCUUACCAGAAAGGGACGGCUAACUACGUGCCAGCAGCCGCGGUAAUACGUAGGUCCCGAGCGUUGUCCGGAUUUAUUGGGCGUAAAGCGAGCGCAGGCGGUUAGAUAAGUCUGAAGUUAAAGGCUGUGGCUUAACCAUAGCACGCUUUGGAAACUGUUUAACUUGAGUGCAAGAGGGGAGAGUGGAAUUCCAUGUGUAGCGGUGAAAUGCGUAGAUAUAUGGAGGAACACCGGUGGCGAAAGCGGCUCUCUGGCUUGUAACUGACGCUGAGGCUCGAAAGCGUGGGGAGCAAACAGG
This 762-nucleotide ribosomal RNA is filed under the name uncultured Streptococcus sp. RNAcentral describes it as "bacterial SSU rRNA". It matches the Rfam family "Bacterial small subunit ribosomal RNA", at positions 28 to 776 of the family's 1533-position model. The record is from RNAcentral. Lineage: Bacteria; Bacillati; Bacillota; Bacilli; Lactobacillales; Streptococcaceae.